GAUGAACGCUGACAGAAUGCUUAACACAUGCAAGUCUACUUGAACUUCGGUUUGGGUGGCGGACGGGUGAGUAACGCGUAAAGAACUUGCCUCACAGUUAGGGACAACAUUUGGAAACGAAUGCUAAUACCUGAUAUUAUGAUUUUAGGGCAUCCUAAGAUUAUGAAAGCUAUAUGCGCUGUGAGAGAGCUUUGCGUCCCAUUAGCUAGUUGGAGAGGUAACGGCUCACCAAGGCGAUGAUGGGUAGCCGGCCUGAGAGGGUGAACGGCCACAAGGGGACUGAGACACGGCCCUUACUCCUACGGGAGGCAGCAGUGGGGAAUAUUGGACAAUGGACCAAAAGUCUGAUCCAGCAAUUCUGUGUGCACGAUGACGUUUUUCGGAAUGUAAAGUGCUUUCAGUUGGGAAGAAAAAAUGACGGUACCAACAGAAGAAGUGACGGCUAAAUACGUGCCAGCAGCCGCGGUAAUACGUAUGUCACAAGCGUUAUCCGGAUUUAUUGGGCGUAAAGCGCGUCUAGGUGGUUAUGUAAGUCUGAUGUGAAAAUGCAGGGCUCAACUCUGUAUUGCGUUGGAAACUGCAUGACUAGAGUACUGGAGAGGUAAGCGGAACUACAGGUGUAGAGGUGAAAUUCGUAGAUAUUUGUAGGAAUGCCGAUGGGGAAGCCAGCUUACUGGACAGAUACUGACGCUAAAGCGCGAAAGCGUGGGUAGCAAACAGG
This 721-nucleotide ribosomal RNA is filed under the name uncultured Fusobacterium sp. RNAcentral describes it as "bacterial SSU rRNA". It matches the Rfam family "Bacterial small subunit ribosomal RNA", at positions 28 to 776 of the family's 1533-position model. The record is from RNAcentral. Lineage: Bacteria; Fusobacteriati; Fusobacteriota; Fusobacteriia; Fusobacteriales; Fusobacteriaceae.